GCCAGGUGUGGUGGCUCACGCCUGUAAUCCCAGCACUUUGGGAGGCUGAGGUGGGAGGAUCACCUGAGGUCAGGGGUUCGAGACCAGCCUGGCCAACAUGGUGAAACCCCAUCUCUA
RNAcentral lists this small RNA (117 nucleotides) under Pongo abelii (Sumatran orangutan). RNAcentral's name for it is "Metazoan signal recognition particle RNA (ENSPPYG00000037462.1)". Lineage: Eukaryota; Metazoa; Chordata; Mammalia; Primates; Hominidae. The record is from Rfam by way of RNAcentral.